AUCGCGCUGGCGCAGACGGACCUGAAGCGCGUGCUGGCGUACAGCACGGUGAGCCAGCUCGGGUUCAUGUUCCUGGCGCUCGGCACGCUCGGCGCGGUG
RNAcentral lists this transfer RNA (99 nucleotides) under Urbifossiella limnaea. RNAcentral describes it as "Planctomycetes bacterium ETA_A1 tRNA-Thr". Lineage: Bacteria; Pseudomonadati; Planctomycetota; Planctomycetia; Gemmatales; Gemmataceae. The record is from RNAcentral.